UUCGCCGUCUUCGUUUCUCUUUCUUCGCGGACGAACACGCGCUGGGCCUGCAACGGCAGGAUCCAGGGUCCUUAACGGGAUAUGCGUUAGGGGCUUGUAGCUCAGUUGGUUAGAGCGCGCGCUUGAUAAGCGUGAGGUCGGAAGUUCAAGUCUUCCCAGGCCCACCACUUUCAUCGAGUGAGCAUUCGUCUUCUGGUUACGGGGCCAUAGCUCAGCUGGGAGAGCGCGUGCUUUGCAAGCAUGAGGUCGUCGGUUCGAUCCCGUCUGGCUCCACCAGAUGGUUUGAUCACCGAGAUCUCAUACCGUCGUCCGCGAAACAUCACUUCGCAUCCUGCUAGUCUGGAUAGACAGCAAGAUGCGUGUUUUCUGACAUCGUAAAGAGGAGAUCGAUCCGAGUUGGGUCGUGCAGCAGAUUGUUGCGCGAAUCCUUCAUUAUCUCCGGAUCAUUUUCGGCGCUUGCUUCCAGCCGUGAGGUUGGAUGCAAGUUGUAAAAUGAUCCUUUUAGCGAAGCUUGACCGCCUCGCUAUCGGAACGAUCUUACGAAGCAAGCUGGUCUUUCUAGUCAAUGUCCGGCUGUACGUAGCAUUCAUCGAGGGUGCGCGCCGCAAGGCAAUCGUACAGACAACAUUCUGCCGAGUGUGUGGACAUUGAUAAUGAGAGCAAUCAAGUGCCUUAAAGGUGUUCGGUGGAUGCCUUGGCGCUGAGAGGCGAUGAAGGACGUGCUACGCUGCGAUAAGCCGUGGGGAGCUGCGAAGAAGCUUUGAUCCGCGGAUUU
This 775-nucleotide unclassified non-coding RNA is filed under the name Bradyrhizobium sp. JY1. RNAcentral describes it as "partial 16S-23S ribosomal RNA intergenic spacer". The stretch from base 662 to 775 matches the Rfam family "Bacterial large subunit ribosomal RNA", at positions 1 to 113 of the family's 2925-position model. Lineage: Bacteria; Pseudomonadati; Pseudomonadota; Alphaproteobacteria; Hyphomicrobiales; Nitrobacteraceae. The record is from RNAcentral.